UAACCUUCCUCUUUGUACGGAUGCAGG
This 27-nucleotide small RNA is filed under the name Bombyx mori (domestic silkworm). RNAcentral describes it as "ovarian small RNA-18777". The record is from RNAcentral. Lineage: Eukaryota; Metazoa; Arthropoda; Insecta; Lepidoptera; Bombycidae.